This 1288-nucleotide long non-coding RNA is filed under the name Gossypium barbadense (sea-island cotton). RNAcentral describes it as "long non-coding RNA (GBAR_LNC015238)". The record is from RNAcentral. Lineage: Eukaryota; Viridiplantae; Streptophyta; Magnoliopsida; Malvales; Malvaceae.
AAAACUCGUCUCUACCAACUUGUGCUGCCGACCAGCCUUUUCCAUGGAGGCUGUCUCUUUCUUUCUCAUUUUUCAUGUUUUUUUCUUAAGAUUUCUCUAAAACUCAACACCCAAACCUUGAAUUUUUGUCAAAAUCACUUGGAAACUUAUUUCCACCUUCAAUUUUCCCCAUUUGCAGCAAGGGCCUAGUUGAGUCUUGAGAGAGAAAGUUGAAGCUAGAGAGAUAAAGUUUCAUUAAGGUAAGAAAUUGUGUUUUUCAUCUUCCCUAGUUUGAUAUUUGGUAUUAAUUACUUUGGGAAAGCUUUGAAAGAUUAUGUAUUAACAUUCUUGUCGUAUUUUUGUGCAUGAAAAUGAGGAAAUAUUGAGAAAUGAAAUCUCAAGCUUGGACACAAAUGAAUUCAAGUACUUGAAAGCUUGAUUUUGAGUAUUUAUGCAUCCAAGAAGUAAGUACCCUUAGAUACUCAUAUUUUAUUAUGAUAACAUGUUUAGGGAAUUUAAGAAUAUGUAUUAUAAAUAUGGAAAUAAGCAUGUGGAUGAAUGUUUGUAAGCUUUCACUAUUUAAAGUUUUGUAAUUGAGUAACUUGAGAACUUGAGUUUUAAUAAACCUUGCUUAUAAAAUGUUUUAUGAACUAAUAUUGUAUAGGGAAAAUUUGGUUGUCAUGGGAGGACUAAUAAACAUGAAUUGGGUAUGUACGAAUAUGUAAGAAAUGUGUAUGCCUAAAAGCUCGCAACUAAAAAAACCCUUAAGCAAACAAAACGCCCUUUUAUCGUUUCGCUGGUGCGGUCGACCUUAUACCAGUUGUUGCCCAACUUUCUUUUUUUGUCCUCCUUUUGUUUUUAAAGUUUUUUUCUUUUACUUUUCUCGUUUGUCUUUCUCUUUCCACCGACAAAAUAAUAUCUUGCCUUUCGCCUUCUAGUUCAUCGUCCUUUUACUAGCGAUUUGAGAAUUUUUUGUUGGCCAACUUGCAGGGGUCCUCCUCCUGUUAGCAGCUCCUGGCUUGGCCUGUGUUUUCUCUUCGAUUGCCCCCAUCUCAGUUUCUUGGUGUCACCUUCACCAUGGAUCCUCGAUGGAUGAAAUUGUUGGAGCCUAAAACUCGUCGCACCAAAUCUCUUGAAUGGUAAUUUAGUAAGGCAUGUACCUAGGCUUUCAUAAGAGUUAAGAAUAUUUUUUAAACUAUCAUGAUUGUAACACUCCUUGCUCGACUCGAUCGCCAAAUCCAAGCUACAGGAUGUCACAACCAUUGUUGGAGCAACGAUAAUCAAUUGCAACAUUUCUAUUCAUUCAACA